This 497-nucleotide ribosomal RNA is filed under the name uncultured bacterium. Its description in RNAcentral is "partial 16S ribosomal RNA". It matches the Rfam family "Bacterial small subunit ribosomal RNA", at positions 28 to 507 of the family's 1533-position model. The record is from RNAcentral.
GAUGAACGCUGGCGGCGUGCCUAAUACAUGCAAGUCGAGCGAACAGACGAGGAGCUUGCUCCUCUGACGUUAGCGGCGGACGGGUGAGUAACACGUGGAUAACCUACCUAUAAGACUGGGAUAACUUCGGGAAACCGGAGCUAAUACAGGAUAAUAUAUUGAACCGCAUGGUUCAAUAGUGAAAGACGGUUUUGCUGUCACUUAUAGAUGGAUCCGCGCCGCAUUAGCUAGUUGGUAAGGUAACGGCUUACCAAGGCGACGAUGCGUAGCCGACCUGAGAGGGUGAUCGGCCACACUGGAACUGAGACACGGUCCAGACUCCUACGGGAGGCAGCAGUAGGGAAUCUUCCGCAAUGGGCGAAAGCCUGACGGAGCAACGCCGCGUGAGUGAUGAAGGUCUUCGGAUCGUAAAACUCUGUUAUUAGGGAAGAACAAAUGUGUAAGUAACUAUGCACGUCUUGACGGUACCUAAUCAGAAAGCCACGGCUAACUACGUG